RNAcentral lists this ribosomal RNA (253 nucleotides) under uncultured bacterium. RNAcentral describes it as "partial 16S ribosomal RNA". It matches the Rfam family "Bacterial small subunit ribosomal RNA", at positions 524 to 776 of the family's 1533-position model. The record is from RNAcentral.
GACAGAGGAGGCAAGCGUUAUCCGGAAUUAUUGGGCGUAAAGCGUCCGUAGGUGGUUUGACAAGUCUGGGGUUAAAGCCCGGAGCCCAACUCCGGAUCGGCUCUGGGAACUGUCAGACUUGAGUAAGGUAGGGGUUGCGGGAAUUCCCGGUGUAGCGGUGAAAUGCGUAGAUAUCGGGAAGAACACCAGCGGCGAAAGCGCGCAACUGGGGCAUUGCUGACACUGAGGGACGAAAGCUAGGGGAGCGAAUGGG